This 360-nucleotide ribosomal RNA is filed under the name uncultured bacterium. RNAcentral's name for it is "bacterial SSU rRNA". It matches the Rfam family "Bacterial small subunit ribosomal RNA", at positions 102 to 475 of the family's 1533-position model. The record is from RNAcentral.
ACGGGUGAGUAAUACAUAGGAAUCUACCCAAUGGCGGGGGACAGCUCGAGGAAACUCGAAUUAAUACCGCAUAAUCUCUACGGAGUAAAGAGGGCUUCGGCUCUCACCAUCGGAUGAGCCUAUGCAAGAUUAGCUUGUUGGUAAGGUAAUGGCUUACCAAGGCUACGAUCUUUAGCUGGUUUGAGAGGAUGACCAGCCACAUCGGGACUGAGACACGGCCCGGACUUCUACGGAAGGCAGCAGUAGGGAAUAUUGGACAAUGAGCGAAAGCUUGAUCCAGCUAUGCCGCGUGUGCGAUGACGGCCCUCGGGCUGUAAAGCACUUUAGGUAACGAGGAACAGUUACGUGUUAAUACCACUU